UAUUACAAGAUAUUAUCUUGAUUAUGUAUAGUCUUCCGUAAUUGAGGUAAUUACAAUGCCACAAAAAUUUAAUUCCACUUCUGAGUGACGCAUCUUUAGAACAACAAAAGUUGCGUUCAGCCCUAGAUGACGGGUUUCAAGUGUAUCAAGCAUUUGUUUUUCUGCACUGCGUACCGUAUAUAUAGCUAUAGCAGGAAAUUUUGCAAAUUUUCGCUUAACACUGGAAACCACGCCCUUUCUUUUGGGAAUGGGACGGCCAGGUGACUAUCAAGUCCCAAAGAGGAAUGUAGUUAAUGUGACUGCCUUGCUGGUUUGCAUAAAUGCUGUAACUACACCCCCGUGGUCACCGAACCGCAACACAGGAAACCACACCCUUUUCUUUGAACCACUUCCGCAAAAUUCAUGAAGACGAGUUAUUGUCUGGCAAGACAUCUAUACGUGCAGUGUAUAGCUGCUAGUGCUAUAAUUAUUGGGAAGCAUUGAAGACAGCAUUCUUCUUCACUAUAUAUAAGUGACUGAUCAAAAUCAACUGAGAAGAAGCUCAUACAUCUAUACUGCCCAGUGGCGUAUCCAGCUAAGGGCUCAGGGUGCUCAAGCACCCCUCUAAGCUUAACAUUAAUUACUGCAACUUACUGGAUAGCUGGGAGCUGAGCCUGAGCUUGCACUACGGAGCUAGCUAGAGCUCGCAGAAGAGUUUUUAUACUGAUUGGAGAGUCAGACCACACCUUCAGAUAAUAAGUUUCCUGGGCAUGCGUACUGUGACUUAUUAACCGAAUAGCCGCGGUUAUGAUUUCAUACGUAGUACCGCCCACCGCGGAACCAAAAUCUAAUUAAAUUUUUUUCAAAAUUAUAAUGUGGACAGUUAGAAAAAAUAAACUACUUUCAUUAUCAGAAAGAUGCGUAGCUAAGAAGCAGUAGCAGUUUUCUGCAGGCAACUUUGUUGCAAACUAGUCUAGAAUAGCUACUCUGCCAGGAUCUCUAAGUUUCGAACGGAGGAGUAUACCAGCCAAGGCCCCGGCCCCAGCGAAGGAUCAUUUCACAACAUUCGCCUCUUGCAUGCAAAGAAAGAUGCAUAACUUGGAAACAGUGACAGUUUUCUUUAUUCAACUUCGUAGCAAAAUAGUCUACAGUAGUUACUGUGUCAGGAUCUCCUGGUUUCCAACGAAACAGUCAACCAGCCAAGGCCAGAGCAAGGGAUCACUUCAGAGUGUGGCAAAGAAAGAUGCACCCCUUAGUAACAGUAACAGUUCUCUUCAAGCUACCUUGUAGUUCUAUCUGAACAGUCGAACAGUCAACCAGCCAAGGACAGAGCGAGAGAUUACUUUAGAGCUGUGAAGAAUGCUGGACACCGGAAAGUUUGGGCCAACAGAUUGGUUGAGAUGGUGCGAGUCCAUAGGCAGGCCAGGAGUGGAACUGCUUACCAUCUGUGAAACAAUCGUCAUGCACUGCUAUCUGCCAUGGUACCACCACCAUCUUAUGGUUCUGAGAAGUCCCACUCACUAUCACUACUAUCCAGGAUACCUCAUCCCCUAUGUACAGAGGCCUCUUUGUCAUUGUUGUAUACCAUAGAAUUAAUUGUAAUUGUAAUUAUUAUAAUGUAUGUUCACUUUUUUGAGAUUGAUAUUGAUAAAUACAAAUUUCACACGAAAUUUUAAGUAAAUUUUUGAUUGCUAACCUAUGGUGAUCGGACUCGGUAUGGCUUCUGUUGACCUUCGAGAGAAGCCUUGCAAAGAUGUGGAGCUCAGAGGUUGUAGCUUACCACAAAUUAAAUAAGAGUAGAGCAAUGUGCACGGUUGAAACAAAUAUGUGUCAUCCGCGGCGGUUACCAGCUUUUUCCGUAAUUAGGCAAAUUUGUGUCAUCCGCGGUUGAUCAAUUAAAGCUACAUGCUACAAAAAUCAAUAGUACAAGUCAAGAGCCUGCAUCAGAGAAGGUUGUUCUUUCUCACUGUCAGUGUCUAUAUAUUCAGCCAACAUCACCAGCAGAAACUUGAUCACACUCUAAAUACCAGCUGCUCAGCAGAGAGGUCUUUCAGUGGUCUGAAGAGAAUAAAGACAGCAUUACGAUCACACAGAAUGAUUUGCUAACUGGACUAUAUAUAUAUACACAUACACUGUGACAUACCUGUAUAGUAGAUAUUGAUAUAGCUAUAAUUAUAGUUAUGUCAAAUAUCAGGCGCAUCUAUGCAUGUUGAGUAAGUGCAGCGGAAAUAGUUUCUACGCAUGCCCGCGCCCAUUUGUAUACACUAUUUAUCUUUGUCGGAGUAGACUGCCAUGGGUCGUCGAGCAUUUUUCUUUCCCAAAGUAACUUUUUUUGUCCUCAGGGCAUGCAUGGGCUCUUUUGGCCUUUACCGUACUCCCUCAAAUCUAUAGCUUUAAUUUGUCUGUACAUAUGUAUGUAUAUCUACAUGCAUGCAUGAAUGCAGAUAAUAUACUAUAAAGCUAAUAAUUAGUAGCCUCGGCUCCACUGAAGUGCGGCCUGGGAUCGAGGCUAAAAUUAUCAAUUUUCUCAGAUUCGUUCAUGCAAAAUACUGAAGGGCUUCUCUUAGAAACCUAUAGCUGUCCAAGUAUCCUAACAUCGUUCUCAAGCUGCACGGUACAUAUACCCGGUACCGUAUAUCUUCUAAUUUAUCGGACAGCAAAAAUAAUUAUUUUGGAAAUUGUCCGGAUAUAAUUGGAACAGAUUUUAAUACAGCAUGCGAAGUGUCCGGAAUAAUAAGAACAAGCAAGCAGCUGCAUGCGAGCUAGCUAAGUUUAAUAGAACAGCUAUAGGGUACGACUGAAUAGUUGCACUAUAGCUAUCUAAAACUAGCUACUCAAAGCUAUCUAACUGCAGCACUCUAAGUCUUACUUGCCGUCUAUGAAUGGUAACUCAACUUUUCAAGGUAUUGUCCGGAUAUUUAGUAUAAUAUUAAAGUACUGGAGUGUCCGUUGUAUUAGAACAACAAAAAUUUCCCAAAAGAAUGUCCGGGGUAACUAGAAGUGUCCGAUAAAUUACGGUAUAUAUAGCUCUCUCCAUUUUCUAGAGUGCUAAGAAUAGCCGCAACACUCUAUUUAGAUUUAUUGAGUGAAUUGUGUAAAAUUUCUGGCUAGACCCUCUAUAUAUACACUACUCAAAACGGUUUACAACUGUGCAUGCUUGCCGUUCUUGCAGUAUUGAGAUUCUUGGUCUUAUCCUUCAAUCGUAGCAGCUCAUUCACCUCAGCAGAGUUGGUUUGUGUUGUUUCAUCAUAAAAAGAGUACAAUUCAUCAGUCAGAAGGUCAUUUAGAGCUGGCUAUCCUCUGCCGACCAUUGCCCAGGCUUCUCCAUUUGACAGAAACACACUCAAUACAUAUCUUGCAGCAACUGGCAACCGUCUUCUGCUUUGUUUUUACUUAUGUUGCUAUAUAUAAUUAUAUGCUCAGCCAGAGGCCUUCAACCAUGCACGCGCAUGCGUUUUUCUUGUGUUAGCGUUUAACUGAACGAAUCUAAUUUCCUGAGGCACUUGACGACGUGUAAUUUACUGGACCGGAUAUAUAAUAGCUGUACUAUAUAGUAAGAAUAGCAGUAUAAUUAUAGUAAUAGUGAUUAUGUAGACGUGCAUAGUCUAGAGUGUUAGUCAUAUAAAUAUCAUAAUCAAAUUUCAAUAU
Molecule: long non-coding RNA, 3627 nt
Organism: Halichondria panicea
Lineage: Eukaryota; Metazoa; Porifera; Demospongiae; Suberitida; Halichondriidae
Exons: 6
Source: RefSeq, a predicted model, not a curated record